UACGUAGGGGGCUAGCGUUGUCCGGAUUUAUUGGGCGUAAAGAGCGUGUAGGCGGCCAAACAGGUCCGUUGUGAAAACUGGAGGCUCAACCUCCAGACGUCGACGGAAACCGUGUGGCUAGAGUCCGGAAGAGGAGAGUGGAAUUCCUGGUGUAGCGGUGAAAUGCGCAGAUAUCAGGAAGAACACCAAUGGCGAAGGCAGCUCUCUGGGACGGUACUGACGCUGAGACGCGAAAGCGUGGGGAGCGAACAGG
This 253-nucleotide ribosomal RNA is filed under the name uncultured bacterium. RNAcentral describes it as "partial 16S ribosomal RNA". It matches the Rfam family "Bacterial small subunit ribosomal RNA", at positions 524 to 776 of the family's 1533-position model. The record is from RNAcentral.